Odocoileus virginianus texanus is the source of this 1810-nucleotide non-coding RNA. The record is from RefSeq and is a predicted model, not a curated record. NCBI's taxonomy places the organism in Eukaryota, Metazoa, Chordata, Mammalia, Artiodactyla, Cervidae.
CACAAUUCUAUUAGCCAAAUUUUCUACACUCAUCUUGUAUGGUGAAUUAGUAAUUAUGAGAUUGAAUUUAUUUAUCAUAUGGCUUUUAAAAAUAUAUUUUAGUCUUUUCUGAUGGCAGGGUGGUCAGAUCUAUGGGUUGUCAAAGGCCAGGUAAUCUUCAAAAUGUCAAGGGCUGCCAACCUCGUAACACAGUGUUAUUUUUUAUUAUCUGGUCUUUUCUCACCAGCUCACAUACUCAUCUCAUCCCUGACUCUUAUCCAUUACUGCUGAAAAUCCAGAGAUUACUGGUACAAAAGAUGCUGCCUCUGUAACCACGGGCUUAUUCAUGGGCUGGGGAGACUGGGGUGGAGGGUGUGGGUUGAGGUGCAUAAAUUGGAAAACCAGAAAGAAGUCCAGGGGUGAAGAAAUCAGCCAGAAAAAUACCGGUGGAAGAAUCAGAGCCGGGUCAAAUAUGAAACCGUGCCAUAAUUUCUUAGAGCAGAAUUUUGCCCCAAAUUCCCAAGGCUGCCGGUAUUUUCAUGUUAAUCCAACUUGCUUCCAGUUAUUAUUUUUAAAACUACACAAAUAUAACGGAAAGCCAGCUAACUUAAAGGACUGAAAUGCAUCUUUAGAUUCUUUUUGGGAUCUUUUUUCCCUCAAGAGACCCCAGUAUCUUCUUGAUCUGCUAUUCUCUGUGAGUAUGUCUCUCACUUACUCUGUCAUCUCUUCUCCCAAGAGUGGUCAUUUUCUCUGAGCAGGGACUGUGAAUGCUUUUAACAGCAGCUCCAACAUGAAGUGACGGAGGCUGUAGGCUCAGAAGGAGUGGGCCAGGACCCAAGGUGUGGGAGGCUGGUGAAAAAUGUGUUCACGCAGCCCGGGUAGGCCUCCCCCGUUUUGCUGUUGCUCUGCAUACCCCUACCCAGCCCUGACCUGGGGGGAACCUAACACCCAUCCUUUCAUCAUUUUCUCUGCAUCCUACUUCUAAGUUCCUAGACUACCAACAUCUGAGAGAUAAACAAGGCUUUCACUCAGUGCUGAACAGGGAGGAAAGAGUGGGUGUUUCUCAGCCAACUGCAGCUCACACUCCCCUCUUAAUAAACAUAAAGACCUCAUGCCUCAUCCUUACCCACAUUCUGACUCCUGCUGUAGAAGGAAGGACAUCUUCCGGGACAGGACCACUGCCAAGACUGAGCCUUCCUCUCUGUGAUUCAGAUCAUAGAAGCCAGGUCUCCACCUGAAUUCUGAUUUCAUCCAUCCUUUGCACCUCCAUCCUGCAGCCAAUCCAGUGAAAAAUGACUGUACUUGGGAGUGUUCAUGGCUACCCACCACUGGCAAGCCCUGGGUGCUUCAGAAUCUCUGAUUCCCUUCACCCACUGAUGCUUCUGUAAAAAAAAAAAGUCCCUUCAUUAACUUCUGUUCAACACCCCAACAGAGGGUGCCUUCUACCCCCACCAGGACCCAACAGAGACCCUUUAACAUCCCCAGAUCAAAGGAAAGGCAAAAACAGCCCAAAACAAGACCUGAAGAGGAUGAAGGUCAUUUAAUUUCAUAGGGAAUUUGGACCCACUUUUUAUAAACUGGAAUCAAAUACGUUGUCCAAAGGUGAGAAGAGGGCCUGGAUAUACUUCGAGUUGCCCGAGCUGUGCGUUUGUUACAAUCUAGGGAGACUUUGAAUCCCAUAAGCUGAAACAGCAAACCUCACUGCAGCAUUUAAAUGUUGGUAGGUUAAAUUUGGAAUAUGAAUAAACAUUUACCCUUGCUAUGUACUGCAUAAUUUCACAUCUGUAAUGAACUUCCUGUGCUAUACUACACACCACUUCUAAACUCAAUC